Molecule: ribosomal RNA, 429 nt
Filed under: Gemmatimonadota bacterium
Lineage: Bacteria; Pseudomonadati; Gemmatimonadota
Description: Gemmatimonadetes bacterium partial 16S ribosomal RNA
Rfam family: Bacterial small subunit ribosomal RNA
Source: RNAcentral
UAGGGAAUCUUCGGCAAUGGACGAAAGUCUGACCGAGCAACGCCGCGUGAGUGAAGAAGGUUUUCGGAUCGUAAAACUCUGUUGUUAGAGAAGAACAAGGACGUUAGUAACUGAACGUCCCCUGACGGUAUCUAACCAGAAAGCCACGGCUAACUACGUGCCAGCAGCCGCGGUAAUACGUAGGUGGCAAGCGUUGUCCGGAUUUAUUGGGCGUAAAGCGAGCGCAGGCGGUUUCUUAAGUCUGAUGUGAAAGCCCCCGGCUCAACCGGGGAGGGUCAUUGGAAACUGGGAGACUUGAGUUCAGAAGAGGAGAGUUGAAUUCCAUGUGUAGCGGUGAAAUGCGUAGAUAUAUGGAGGAACACCAGUGGCGAAGGCGGCUCUCUGGUCUGUAACUGACGCUGAGGCUCGAAAGCGUGGGGAGCAAACAGG